UACAGAGGGGGCAAGCGUUGUUCGGAAUUACUGGGCGUAAAGGGCGCGUAGGCGGCCUGCUAAGUCGAACGUGAAAUCCCUGGGCUUAACCCAGGAACUGCGUCCGAUACUGGCAGGCUUGAAUCCGAGAGAGGGAUGCGGAAUUCCAGGUGUAGCGGUGAAAUGCGUAGAUAUCUGGAGGAGCACCGGUGGCGAAGGCGGCAUCCUGGACCGGCAUUGACGCUGAGGCGCGAAAGCCAGGGGAGCAAACGGG
RNAcentral lists this ribosomal RNA (253 nucleotides) under uncultured bacterium. Its description in RNAcentral is "partial 16S ribosomal RNA". It matches the Rfam family "Bacterial small subunit ribosomal RNA", at positions 524 to 776 of the family's 1533-position model. The record is from RNAcentral.